RNAcentral lists this ribosomal RNA (1381 nucleotides) under uncultured bacterium. Its description in RNAcentral is "partial 16S ribosomal RNA". It matches the Rfam family "Bacterial small subunit ribosomal RNA". The record is from RNAcentral.
UUAGAGUUUGAUCCUGGCUCAGGACGAACGCUGGCGGCACGCCUAACACAUGCAAGUCGAACGAAGUAAGAAGCUUGCUUCUUGCUUAGUGGCGGACGGGUGAGUAACACGUGAGCAACCUGCCUUAAAGAGGGGGACAACAGUUGGAAACGACUGCUAAUACCGCAUAAUGUGCGCUGGAAGCAUUUCCUAUGCACCAAAGGAGCAAUCCGCUUUAAGAUGGGCUCGCGCCUGAUUAGAUAGUUGGUGAGGUAACGGCCCACCAAGUCUGCGAUCAGUAGCCGGACUGAGAGGUUGAACGGCCACAUUGGGACUGAGACACGGCCCAGACUCCUACGGGAGGCAGCAGUGGGGGAUAUUGGUCAAUGGGGGAAACCCUGAACCAGCGAUGCCGCGUGAGGGAAGAAGGUUUUCGGAUUGUAAACCUCUGUCAUCGGGGAAGAUAAUGACGGUACCCGAGAAGGAAGCCACGGCUAACUACGUGCCAGCAGCCGCGGUAAUACGUAGGUGGCGAGCGCUGUCCGGAAUUACUGGGUGUAAAGGGAGUGUAGGCGGGACGGCAAGUCAGGUGUGAAAUCUAUGGGCUCAACCCAUAGCGUGCACUUGAAACUGUUGUUCUUGAGUGAAGUAGAGGCAAGCGGAAUUCCUAGUGUAGCGGUGAAAUGCGUAGAUAUUAGGAGGAACACCAGUGGCGAAGGCGGCUUGCUGGGCUUUUACUGACGCUGAGGCUCGAAAGCGUGGGGAGCAAACAGGAUUAGAUACCCUGGUAGUCCACGCCGUAAACGAUGAGUGCUAAGUAUCGGGGGAUUUCGGUGCUUAAGCUAACGCAGUAAGCACUCCGCCUGGGGAGUACGGUCGCAAGACUGAAACUCAAAGGAAUUGACGGGGACUCGCACAAGCGGUGGAGCAUGCGGUUUAAUUCGAUGCAACGCGAAGAGCCUUACCAGGUCUUGACAGUGUAAAGAAUACUUAAGAGAUUAAGGGCUACGAAUUAAGCUUGCUUGAUUUACUUUAUAAACAGGUGGUGCAUGGUUGUCGUCAGCUCGUGUCGUGAGAUGUUGGGUUGAGUCCCGCAACGAGCGCAACCCUUAUCACUAGUUGCCAUCAUUCAGUUGGGCACUCUAGUGAGACUGCCGGUGACAAAUCGGAUGAAGGUGGGGAUGACGUCAAAUCAUCAUGCCCCUUAUGACCUGGGCUACACGCGUGCUACAAUGGCUAAUACAAAGAGUCGCAAAACCGUGAGGUGGAGCUAAUCUCAUAAAGUUAGUCUCAGUUCGGAUUGUAGUCUGCAACUCGACUACAUGAAGUUGGAAUCGCUAGUAAUCGUAAAUCAGAAUGUUACGGUGAAUAAAAGCUCGAGUCUUGUACACACCGCCCGUCA